ACGAACGCUGGCGGCGUGCUUAACACAUGCAAGUCGAGCGGUAAGGCCCUUUCGGGGGUACACGAGCGGCGAACGGGUGAGUAACACGUGGGUGACCUGCCCUCAGCUCUGGGAUAAGCCUGGGAAACCGGGUCUAAUACCGGAUAUGACUCCAUGACGCAUGUUGUGGGGUGGAAAGCCUUGUGCGGCUGAGGAUGGGCCCGCGGCCUAUCAGCUUGUUGGUGGGGUGAUGGCCUACCAAGGCGACGACGGGUAGCCGGCCUGAGAGGGCGACCGGCCACACUGGGACUGAGACACGGCCCAGACUCCUACGGGAGGCAGCAGUGGGGAAUCUUGCGCAAUGGGCGAAAAGCCUGACGCAGCGACGCCGCGUGAGGGAUGGCGCC
This 386-nucleotide ribosomal RNA is filed under the name uncultured bacterium. RNAcentral describes it as "bacterial SSU rRNA". It matches the Rfam family "Bacterial small subunit ribosomal RNA", at positions 29 to 415 of the family's 1533-position model. The record is from RNAcentral.